AGUGAACGCUGGCGGUAGGCCUAACACAUGCAAGUCGAACGGCAGCACAGUAAGAGCUUGCUCUUACGGGUGGCGAGUGGCGGACGGGUGAGGAAUACAUCGGAAUCUACCUUUUCGUGGGGGAUAACGUAGGGAAACUUACGCUAAUACCGCAUACGACCUACGGGUGAAAGCAGGGGAUCUUCGGACCUUGCGCGAUUGAAUGAGCCGAUGUCGGAUUAGCUAGUUGGCGGGGUAAAGGCCCACCAAGGCGACGAUCCGUAGCUGGUCUGAGGGGAUGAUCAGCCACACUGGAACUGAGACACGGUCCAGACUCCUACGGGAGGCAGCAGUGGGGAAUAUUGGACAAAGGGCGCAAGCCUGAUCCAGCCAUACCGCGUGGGUGAAGAAGGCCUUCGGGUUGUAAAGCCCUUUUGUUGGGAAAGAAAAGCAGCAGGUUAAUACCCCGCUGUUCUGACGGUACCCAAAGAAUAAGCACCGGCUAACUUCGUG
This 492-nucleotide ribosomal RNA is filed under the name uncultured bacterium. RNAcentral describes it as "partial 16S ribosomal RNA". It matches the Rfam family "Bacterial small subunit ribosomal RNA", at positions 29 to 507 of the family's 1533-position model. The record is from RNAcentral.